This 428-nucleotide ribosomal RNA is filed under the name uncultured bacterium. RNAcentral describes it as "partial 16S ribosomal RNA". It matches the Rfam family "Bacterial small subunit ribosomal RNA", at positions 354 to 796 of the family's 1533-position model. The record is from RNAcentral.
GUAGGGAAUAUUGCGCAAUGGGGGAAACCCUGACGCAGCGACGCCGCGUGAGUGAUGAAGGCCUUCGGGUCGUAAAGCUCUGUUGCAGGGGAAUAAAAAAAUGAAGGUACCCUGUGAGGAAGGAUCGGCUAACUUCGUGCCAGCAGCCGCGGUAAGACGAGGGAUCCUAGCGUUGCUCGGAAUCAUUGGGCGUAAAGAGGGCGUAGGUGGCUUGGUAAGUCAGGUGUGAAAGCCCAGGGCUCAACCCUGGAAGUGCAUUUGAUACUGCUGAGCUUGAUUGUCGGAGAGGUUACCGGAAUACCUGGGGUAGUGGUGAAAUACGUAGAUAUCAGGUGGAACACCGGAGGCGAAGGCGGGUAACUGGACGAACACUGACACUGAGGCCCGAAAGCGUGGGGAUCAAACAGGAUUAGAUACCCGGGUAGUCC